RNAcentral lists this transfer RNA (73 nucleotides) under Nicotiana sylvestris (wood tobacco). It matches the Rfam family "tRNA". From Rfam's summary of the family: Transfer RNA (tRNA) molecules are approximately 80 nucleotides in length. Their secondary structure includes four short double-helical elements and three loops (D, anti-codon, and T loops). The record is from Rfam by way of RNAcentral. RNAcentral also lists the same sequence under 1 other name. Lineage: Eukaryota; Viridiplantae; Streptophyta; Magnoliopsida; Solanales; Solanaceae.
GUUCUCGUAGCUCAGUUGGUUAGAGCACCCGCUUAGUAAGGAGAGAUCUUGAGUUUGACUCUCACCGAUAUCA